AUAAUCUGUCUGAUGACGAAAAUGAUGAUUGUUUUAUGCCAAAAGAUCAAACCGGAGCAAUUUCGAGAGAAGUGCCUGUUAUGGAUAAAAUAAGUUGUCCCAAUAAAGAAAGUGAAAAUGGUCAAACUGGGAAUUGGGCUAAAUACUCCCCCCAAAAUCUUGAAGCAAAAAAAAUUUUCAGCACUCACGCCAUAUCGUA
This is a long non-coding RNA of Zophobas morio, 199 nucleotides long. RefSeq lists it as uncharacterized. The record is from RefSeq and is a predicted model, not a curated record. Lineage: Eukaryota; Metazoa; Arthropoda; Insecta; Coleoptera; Tenebrionidae. The transcript is spliced from 3 exons.